Long non-coding RNA from Gossypium arboreum, 265 nucleotides. RefSeq lists it as uncharacterized. The record is from RefSeq and is a predicted model, not a curated record. NCBI's taxonomy places the organism in Eukaryota, Viridiplantae, Streptophyta, Magnoliopsida, Malvales, Malvaceae. The transcript is spliced from 2 exons.
AAAUCCGAUAAAGGGAAGGAAAAAGUGAUCGAAUAGCCGUUGAAGCCGUUCGACAACAUCCGAGAUUUUGCUCGUUAGCGAUCGGAUUCGGGAUCAUUAAAGUCGAAGUCAUCUACACUAUCAAAGCCUCCAUUUUGGUAUAAUUUUGGUUGAACUUUGAAAUGGCAUGUAUAGGACUACCCUAUUGUUGAAGGUCAUGUACCUUUCGGUUUUGUGUAAACUUGGAUAGCCAUGCAAAAAUGGCUUAUAUACGUUUUUGGUAUGA